UACGGAGGGUGCAAGCGUUAUCCGGAUGCACUGGGUUUAAAGGGGGCGUAGGUGGGUUUGUAAGUCAGUGGUGAAAUCUCCGGGCUUAACUCGGAAACUGCCAUUGAUACUAUAGAUCUUGAAUAUCCUGGAGGUGAACGGAAUAUGUCAUGUAGCGGUGAAAUGCUUAGAUAUGACAUAGAACACCAAUUGCGAAGGCAGUUCACUACGGGAUCAUUGACACUGAGGCACGAAAGCGUGGGGAUCAAACAGG
This 253-nucleotide ribosomal RNA is filed under the name uncultured bacterium. Its description in RNAcentral is "partial 16S ribosomal RNA". It matches the Rfam family "Bacterial small subunit ribosomal RNA", at positions 524 to 776 of the family's 1533-position model. The record is from RNAcentral.